Molecule: ribosomal RNA, 460 nt
Filed under: uncultured bacterium
Lineage: Bacteria
Description: partial 16S ribosomal RNA
Rfam family: Bacterial small subunit ribosomal RNA
Source: RNAcentral
CCUACUGGUGGCUGCAGUGGGGAAUAUUGCACAAUGGGCGCGAGCCUGAACCAGCCACGUAGCGUGAAGGAUGACUGCCCUACGGGUUGUAAACUUCUGUUAUAAAAGAAUAAAGUGAUGCACUUGUGCCUUUUUGUAUGUACUUUAUGACUAAGAAUCGGGUAACUCCUUGCCAGCCGCCGCGGUACUACGGAGGCUCCGAGGAUUAUCCGGAUUUAGUGGGUUUAAAGGGAGCGUAGAUGGGUUGUUACGUUCGUUGUGAAAGUUUGCGGCUCAACCGUAAAAUGGCAAUUGAUACUGGCAGUCGUGAGUACAGUUGAGGUAGGCGGAAUUCGUGGUGUAGCGGUGAAAUGCUUAGAUAUCACGAAGAACUCCGAUUGCGAGGGCAGCUUACUAAACUGCCACUGACAUUGAUGCUCGAAAGUGUGGGUAUCAAACAGGAUUAGAUACCCCAGUAGUC